RNAcentral lists this ribosomal RNA (1343 nucleotides) under uncultured bacterium. RNAcentral's name for it is "16S ribosomal RNA". It matches the Rfam family "Bacterial small subunit ribosomal RNA", at positions 28 to 1378 of the family's 1533-position model. The record is from RNAcentral.
GACGAACGCUGGCGGCGUGCUUAACACAUGCAAGUCGAACGGAAAGGCCCUGCUUUUGUGGGGUGCUCGAGUGGCGAACGGGUGAGUAACACGUGAGUAACCUGCCCUUGACUUUGGGAUAACUUCAGGAAACUGGGGCUAAUACCGGAUAGGAGCUCCUGCUGCAUGGUGGGGGUUGGAAAGUUUCGGCGGUUGGGGAUGGACUCGCGGCUUAUCAGCUUGUUGGUGGGGUAGUGGCUUACCAAGGCUUUGACGGGUAGCCGGCCUGAGAGGGUGACCGGCCACAUUGGGACUGAGAUACGGCCCAGACUUCUACGGGAGGCAGCAGUGGGGAAUAUUGCACAAUGGGCGGAAGCCUGAUGCAGCAACACCGCGUGCGGGAUGACGGCCUUCGGGUUGUAAACCGCUUUCGCCUGUGACGAAGCGUGAGUGACGGUAAUGGGUAAAGAAGCGCCGGCUAACUACGUGCCAGCAGCCGCGGUGAUACGUAGGGUGCGAGCGUUGUCCGGAUUUAUUGGGCGUAAAGGGCUCGUAGGUGGUUGAUCGCGUCGGAAGUGUAAUCUUGGGGCUUAACCCUGAGCGUGCUUUCGAUACGGGUUGACUUGAGGAAGGUAGGGGAGAAUGGAAUUCCUGGUGGAGCGGUGGAAUGCGCAGAUAUCAGGAGGAACACCAGUGGCGAAGGCGGUUCUCUGGGCCUUUCCUGACGCUGAGGAGCGAAAGCGUGGGGAGCGAACAGGCUUAGAUACCCUGGUAGUCCACGCUGUAAACGGUGGGUACUAGGUGUGGGGUCCAUUCCACGGGUUCCGUGCCGUAGCUAACGCUUUAAGUACCCCGCCUGGGGAGUACGGCCGCAAGGCUAAAACUCAAAGGAAUUGACGGGGCCCCGCACAAGCGGCGGAGCAUGCGGAUUAAUUCGAUGCAACGCGUAGAACCUUACCUGGGUUUGACAUGGAUCGGGAGCGCUCAGAGAUGGGUGUGCCUCUUUUGGGGUCGGUUCACAGGUGGUGCAUGGCUGUCGUCAGCUCGUGUCGUGAGAUGUUGGGUUAAGUCCCGCAACGAGCGCAACCCUUGUUCACUGUUGCCAGCACGUUAUGGUGGGGACUCAGUGGAGACCGCCGGGGUCAACUCGGAGGAAGGUGGGGAUGACGUCAAGUCAUCAUGCCCCUUAUGUCCAGGGCUUCACGCAUGCUACAAUGGCUGGUACAGAGAGUGGCGAGCCUGUGAGGGUGAGCGAAUCUCGGAAAGCCGGUCUCAGUUCGGAUUGGGGUCUGCAACUCGACCUCAUGAAGUCGGAGUCGCUAGUAAUCGCAGAUCAGCAACGCUGCGGUGAAUACGUUCCCGGG